Molecule: long non-coding RNA, 627 nt
Organism: Oncorhynchus tshawytscha (Chinook salmon)
Lineage: Eukaryota; Metazoa; Chordata; Actinopteri; Salmoniformes; Salmonidae
Source: Ensembl
GGGAUGUAUAGAGGGCAUAAGGUAGUCUUUAGGAGGUCUGUGUCUGUGUGUGUGUGUGUGUGGGGGGGUUUAUAGAGGGCAUGAGGUAGUCUUUAGGAGGUCUGUGUGUGUGUGUGUGUGUGUUGGGGGAUAUAUAGAGGGCAUAAGGUGGUCUUUAGGAGGUCUGUGUGUGUGUGUGUGUGUGGGGGGUGUAUAGAGGGCAUAAGGUAGUCUUUAGGAGAUCUGUGUGUGUGUGUGGGGGAUGGGGUAUAUAGAGGGCAUGAGGUAGUCUUUAGGAGGUCUGUGUGUGUGGGUGGGGGUGUAUUGAGGGCAUAAGGUGGUCUUUAGGAGGUCUGUGUGUGUGUGUGUGGGGGGGUGUAUAGAGGGCAUAAGGUAGUCUUUAGGAGAUCUGUGUGUGUGUGUGGGGGAUGGGGUAUAUAGAGGGCAUGAGGUAGUCUUUAGGAGGUCUGUGUGUGUGGGUGGGGGUGUAUAGAGGGCAUAAGGUAGUCUUUAGGAGAUCUGUGUGUGUGUGUGGGGGAUGGGGUAUAUAGAGGGCAUGAGGUAGUCUUUAGGAGGUCUGUGUGUGUGGGUGGGGGUGUAUUGAGGGCAUAAGGUAGUCGUUAGGAGGUCUGUGUGUGUGUGUGGGGG